RNAcentral lists this non-coding RNA (23 nucleotides) under Cricetulus griseus (Chinese hamster). Lineage: Eukaryota; Metazoa; Chordata; Mammalia; Rodentia; Cricetidae. The record is from RNAcentral.
AAUCGAAUGGGCCAGGCCGGCAG